Molecule: ribosomal RNA, 253 nt
Filed under: uncultured bacterium
Lineage: Bacteria
Description: partial 16S ribosomal RNA
Rfam family: Bacterial small subunit ribosomal RNA
Source: RNAcentral
GACAGAGGGGGCAAACGUUGUUCGGAUUUACUGGGCGUAAAGCGCGUGUAGGCGGCUUGGCAAGUCGGAUGUGAAAGCCCACGGCUCAACCGUGGAAGCGCAUCCGAAACUGCUUCGCUCGAGUCUCGGAGAGGAAGGUGGAAUGCUUGGUGUAGAGGUGAAAUUCGUAGAUAUCAAGCAGAACACCUGCGGCGAAGGCGGCCUGCUGGACGAUGACUGACGCUGAGACGCGAAAGCGUGGGGAGCAAACAGG